GUUCAGACUGAGCGUGGAUUUUGAGGUCAUCAACCAGUGACGCUGAAGUUCACACAUGCAUCUUUUGUUAGCCUGAAAAUUCUGCAGCUGCUAAAUGUUUUCCAAGAAAGCCAACCAAGGAUAAAACUACUAUGGAG
Molecule: long non-coding RNA, 137 nt
Filed under: Microcebus murinus (gray mouse lemur)
Lineage: Eukaryota; Metazoa; Chordata; Mammalia; Primates; Cheirogaleidae
Description: lncRNA (ENSMICG00000048196.1)
Source: RNAcentral